UGGGGAAUUUUGCACAAUGGGGGAAACCCUGAUGCAGCGACGCCGCGCGAUUUAGAAGGCCUUCGGGUUGUAAAAAUCUUUUUUAUGGGAUGAAAAUGACAGUACCAUAAGAAUAAGGUCCGGCUAAAUACGUGCCAGCAGCCGCGGCAAUACGUAUGGACCGAGCGUUGUCCGGAAUCAUUGGGCGUAAAGGGUACGUAGGCGGCCCAGUAAGUUAGAAGUGAAAUAAUAUAGCUCAACUAUAUAAAGCUUUUAAAACUGCUAGGCUUGAGAGGUGGAAGGGGAAGUGGAAUUCCUAGUGUGGCGGUGAAAUGCGCAGAUAUUAGGAAGAAUACCGGUGGCGAAGGCGACUUUCUGGUCAUCAUCUGACGCUGAGGUACGAAAACGUGGGUAGCAAACAGG
This 402-nucleotide ribosomal RNA is filed under the name Verrucomicrobiota bacterium. RNAcentral describes it as "Verrucomicrobia bacterium partial 16S ribosomal RNA". It matches the Rfam family "Bacterial small subunit ribosomal RNA", at positions 355 to 776 of the family's 1533-position model. The record is from RNAcentral. Lineage: Bacteria; Pseudomonadati; Verrucomicrobiota.